Oncorhynchus tshawytscha (Chinook salmon) is the source of this 1335-nucleotide long non-coding RNA. The record is from Ensembl. Lineage: Eukaryota; Metazoa; Chordata; Actinopteri; Salmoniformes; Salmonidae.
CAACAAAUCAACCUGCCGCUCUAACAAUUUACCGUGAAAAUUAGUUGGCAACACUGCUCUCAGCAGCUGCUUAGUCACUCCAUGACUCCGCCUUCCGCGUGUUCACGAGAUGGUUCGAAGAAACGUAAAUCUAUUGUAACAGUAGGCUAUUGCAAAAAUACGCACAACACAAACAGAUUGUCUAGCAAUUUCGUACUUUUUUCAGGAGGGGAGUUACAUGCAGAUAUUUAGGGCAAGCUAUAUGUAGCCUACUCAGCAUAUCAUACAAACUGCUUCUUGCUUGUGCUACGGCAAUUUCCGUUACAACAGACAGACCGUUGUAUGUAGACUUCAGAUACAGUGAGCUGCAAAAGUAUUGGGACAGUGACGUUUUUUGUUGUUUUGGCUCUGUACUCCAGCACUUUGGAUUUGAAAUUACACAAUGUCUGUGAGGUUAAAGUGCUUAAAGUGCAGACGUCAGCUUUAAUUUGAGGGUAUUUUCAUCCAUAUCAGGUGAACGUUUAGAAAGAAAUUACAGCACUUUUUGGACAUAGUCCCCCCCCCCCCCCCAUAUUAGGGGACCAAAAAGUAUUGGGCCAAAUUCACUUCUAUGUGUAUUAAAGUAGUCAAGUGUAGUUGUAUUUGGUCCCAUAUUCCUCGCACGCAAUGAUAACAUCAAGCUUGUGACUCAACAAACUGGUUGGAUGGGGGAACUAUGUAACAAAAAGUUUCUAAAUGGUACACCCGAAAUGAAAGCUGUCAGUCUGCACUCAUUGUAUUAUUUACAAUCCAAAACUACAAAAAAUGUGUCACAGUCCCAAUACUUUUGGAGCUCGCUGUAUAUUUUUGGAACGUUCGUUAAAAUCGCAGCUGUUCAGAAAUAUGAGGCAGAGAGAAAAGGCUCCAUCAUCAUAUCGAUCUAAUCGGUUGAGGCUUCAGAAGAGGGAGAUUCACCUGAGAUUCAGUCAAGGCUCCAUGGAGGAGUACCUGCUGGAGAGGGAGCAUGCUCUAGCAGUGGUUCUACCAGGAGGCCUGGAGAAAACGGCCCAGAUACAUGGGAGUAAACCUGUGAUGGACAUACUGGUCACACUCUGUGCCCUGAACCACCUGAAUCCAUCGGAGUUCACCAUAGAACUCCAGAAACCAAAUCUCCUUCAAUCCCAGCUCUCUGAUUGGAGCCAUGGAGCCUCACAGGAUCCUACUGAAACCUAAAGGGGGAGAGGAGAAGGAGGCUGUACGUGCCAGAGGUCACUUUACGUCUGCUGAUCAACUACAAGAAGAACCAUAAGGUCGUUGUGAGGGUCAGCCCUAGAGUCCCUCUGGAGCAGCUCCUGCCUGCGGUGUGUGUGAAGUGUG